AGAACUUCAUUGUAGAGAAAAUGGUAAUUUUUUAAGUUUUCCCACCUUAUAAGGGGCUUGGUUUAUAAGAAUGUUUAUUCUAAUUUGAUAUUGUCAAGCACUGAGUGGGUAACUUGGAAAUCAGAAAAAAAAGUCAGGCUUUAGUCUCCACACAGCCACCUCAGGUUUAUGUAUCUGCCCUGGUUGGUGCAGCUCUGUCCUUCCAGGUCUUCACUUCAUUGCUGUAGAGACAAAGCAGGAGCCCCUGUCUUCCAAAAUCUGAUUUUUUUUUUUUUAUUAUUUUAUUUUUUUUUCAACUGAGAAGACAGAAUGUUUAUGGAUAUCCACACAGACACACCAAAUUUAUGUUUUUCUUCCCAUGAAUCUCUGCUCACUCUCUCUGGCAACUGUGAAAGCCCUUUGCUGCUCUUUCCCUCGCUCUUAGUUCACAUCCGAAUGUUUGACUUCCAUGUGCCAUCCCUUUCCUUGUUGGUGGCAAUACAGGCCUACUUUUGGAGUCACUACUUACCAAAGAUCAACAUGAAGGUUUUUGUUUCAAUGGCACAAGCCUUUCUUCUAUCCACAUUGAAAAUCAUGUUGCUUUUUCAAGAGCUCCACAAGGAUCCAAGUGAAAAGAUUUGCAGACAGACUAAAGAAGAGUCCUUUGAGCAGUGUGCUGCACUUCUUGGCGAGUUCAGCGGAGCGGUUGGAUGCCCUUGACACCACAGACACAGGAGAAUUCUCUGUGCCAUACAUGCUCAGCAUUGGGAUUGUCAUCCACCUGCUGUCCUCCACUUGAGUUCGAAGGUCUCGAUCUCGCCUUUCCCCAUCUUGCACAUAUGUAUGUAUUUUUUUAUAAACUAUUCCCAGAAGAAACUAUUCUGACUGCUGUUACAUUUUGGAGUCUAAUAUCUCAGAAAUAUACCCAGAUGGAUGGUAGAAAAAAAAUCAAGUGAACAGGCCAAGGAAUCUGC
Harpia harpyja (harpy eagle) is the source of this 953-nucleotide long non-coding RNA. RefSeq lists it as uncharacterized. The transcript has 3 exons. Lineage: Eukaryota; Metazoa; Chordata; Aves; Accipitriformes; Accipitridae. The record is from RefSeq and is a predicted model, not a curated record.